GGCUGGAUAGCUCAGUGGUUAAGAGCAACCAGUAUAUGUCUGGGAGGUCCUGGGUUCAAACCCCAGUCUGGCCA
Molecule: non-coding RNA, 74 nt
Organism: Russula brevipes
Lineage: Eukaryota; Fungi; Basidiomycota; Agaricomycetes; Russulales; Russulaceae
Source: the annotation of a GenBank genome assembly